Molecule: ribosomal RNA, 484 nt
Filed under: uncultured bacterium
Lineage: Bacteria
Description: partial 16S ribosomal RNA
Rfam family: Bacterial small subunit ribosomal RNA
Source: RNAcentral
AUUGAACGCUGGCGGCAGGCCCAACACAUGCAAGUCGAGCGGAUGAAGGGAGCUUGCUCCUGGAUUCAGCGGCGGACGGGUGAGUAAUGCCUAGGAAUCUGCCUGGUAGUGGGGGAUAACGUCCGGAAACGGGCGCUAAUACCGCAUACGUCCUGAGGGAGAAAGUGGGGGAUCUUCGGACCUCACGCUAUCAGAUGAGCCUAGGUCGGAUUAGCUAGUUGGUGGGGUAAAGGCCUACCAAGGCGACGAUCCGUAACUGGUCUGAGAGGAUGAUCAGUCACACUGGAACUGAGACACGGUCCAGACUCCUACGGGAGGCAGCAGUGGGGAAUAUUGGACAAUGGGCGAAAGCCUGAUCCAGCCAUGCCGCGUGUGUGAAGAAGGUCUUCGGAUAGUAAAGCACUUUAAGUUGGGAGGAAGGGCAGUAAGUUAAUACCUUGCUGUUUUGACGUUACCAACAGAAUAAGCACCGGCUAACUUCGUG